RNAcentral lists this ribosomal RNA (338 nucleotides) under uncultured eukaryote. RNAcentral's name for it is "partial 18S ribosomal RNA". It matches the Rfam family "Eukaryotic small subunit ribosomal RNA", at positions 1470 to 1796 of the family's 1831-position model. The record is from RNAcentral.
CCCUUAGAUGUCCUGGGCCGCACGCGCGUUACACUGAUGCAUUCAACGAGCUUAUAACCUUGGCCGAGAGGCCUGGGCAAUCUUGUUAACGUGCAUCGUGAUAGGGAUAGAUUAUUGAAAUUAUUAAUCUUGAACGAGGAAUUCCUAGUAAACGCAGAUCAUCAAUCUGCAUUGAUUACGUCCCUGCCCUUUGUACACACCGCCCGUCGCUGCCAUCGGUGGACGGCCGAGCCAGGGCUUUGGACUGCGAGCGCCUGCCCUUCGUCUUCGGACGGGGAGUCGUUGCCCGCGGAAAAUCGUCCGAACUCGGUCGCCCCGAGAUAGCAAAAGUCGUAACA